This 3179-nucleotide long non-coding RNA is filed under the name Pan troglodytes (chimpanzee). RNAcentral describes it as "long non-coding RNA NONPTRT017645". The record is from RNAcentral. Lineage: Eukaryota; Metazoa; Chordata; Mammalia; Primates; Hominidae.
UGCACAGGGGGAUGCAUUGUUGUGUGAAUGUAUGAGUGUCAUGCUUUCACUUGGUUAAUGUGUGGUUUUAUGAUAACUCUCUGUGAUGGAGAAACAUCAGUUUCUGAGUGUUAGUAGAGCAAACCCCCUCCCUUGCCAAUACAGUCUGUCUUCUUUCAGGUGCUUCUUAACCUACCAGUCCUGCCAGAGUUUGAUAUAUAGAAGGUGUUUGCUCCAUGACAGCAUUGCCCGGCAUCCAGCUCCAGAAGAUCCCGACUGGAUUAAGAGGUUACUGCAAAGCCCCUGCCCUUUCUGUGAUUCUCCUGUCUUCUAAAUAAUCAGUGACGGGAAGAUGGAAGGGCACGAUGAACUCUGCCAUAGAAAACUUCCUCCAGCCUGAAGAGAAGGAUGCACUGGAGGAAGCCGGACCCUCACGAGUGGAGAGAAGUCCUUGGUGAUUGUAAAGAGGGCCCCUGGAGCUCAUUUCUGAAGGGCACUCUCCAUCUCCAGAGACUAAAGGAUGUCCUUUGAAAUGGCUGGACUCAGAGAGUUGGAGUCAUUUUGAGAUGAGCAUUAGCCCCAGCUUUGUAACCAAUGAGGAACACUUACUUAUUUUUAAGUAUCUUGACAGAAGCAAUUUGAACACAAUGUCGCGUCAUUUCUAGAUAACAGAAUGGUCUCUUCUGGAGAGCUUGGAUAAGGACCUUGCUGGGUUGAGUUAGGUUUUAAUCCUUGCUUUGGUCUGGAACUGCCUUCGGGCUCCAGAACUUAAAUUGCUUGGGCCGUGGCAUCUGAUGUACCAACAGAGAUUAAAAGUGUAAAGCAACACAUGGGCUGAUGUUUUGUUCUCAGAAAAUAGCUGCUGGUCUGCAUCCCUCCAUUCUUGUUUUUUAUGCAUAUGGAAAACAUUUUCCUAAAACUCUAUAUUCUUAAGUUGAAGCUAAGACUAAAAUUUAAUGUGUCAAAUGAUCUGGUGACUAUUAUAAUGAAUAAUUGUGACUUAUUUUUCAUUCUCUCCUGGGUCAUCAGGUUUCCUGACCCAACUCCUUAAUCCGUAUAAAGAUGUCAAAUACUGUAGUUCACCCACGCCACAGCCCUGCUUCAGACUUAACUGUGGUAGCCUAGAUGAGCUAUUUGUACACAGAGGAAAAAAAGAUAUUUUCCUCUUUUAGUAAUAAGACUUUUAGUAUUUUUAAUGUUGACAUUUCCAGAUGUUUCAUUUAGUAUCCAGGGGUCUGUCUGGAGACUUCUAGAGAGGGACAGCUCAGAAGUGAGACCCUUGAGCUCUGGUGCUGUAAGCUUGUGCAAUUCAGUUGAACAGAGCCUGGGAAUUUCUUUCCUCUGCACAGUCCCUUGAUAUUUGGAAUCCAGGUUCUGCCCCCAACCCCUACCCACCCAGUGGUCUGUUAAGAUGUCUCAGAUGGGGCUGGGCGUGGUGGCUCAUGCCUGUACUCUCAGCACUUUGGGAAGCCAAGGCAGGCAGAUCACAAGGUCAGGAGUUCAGCCUAACCAACAUGGUGAAACCGUGUCUCUACUAAAAAUACAAAAAUUAGCCAGGCGUGGUGGUGCACACCCGUAAUCCCAGCACUUUGGGAGGCCGAGGCAGACGGGUCACUUGAGGCCAGGAGUUCGAGACCAGCCUGGGCAAUAUGGCGAGACCCCCGUCUCUACUAAAAAUACAAAAGUUAGCCUGGCAGGGUGGCGCAUGCCUGUAAUCUCAGUUACUCAGGAGGCUGAGGCAGGAGCAUCACUUGAACCCAGGAGGCAGAAGCUGCAGUCAGCCGAGAUGGCACCACUGCACUUCAGCCUGGGCAAGACUGGAGACUGCCUCAAAAAAAAAAAGAAAAAAAAUGUUGGUACUUAGAUGAUACCAUGACGGCAACCUCCCCACCCCCACCCCGCAUUGAUAGGUAGUGCAGACCAGCCCUUGCAGGCACUUCUAAACAGUCUGCUCAGAAAUGUUUUCUGUUUCCUAUUCAAAUUGCUGUUUUGUCUCCUAUGUUUAAUCAUGUAUUUGCUAUUCUGCUUAUUUUUCUCAUUUGGUGGUAAUUUCAAGAAGAGCGUUUAUCCACUAUUGAUUUUCAAGAAAGAAACCAAGCAGCAUUGAAAUCAUGAGUAACAGAAUUCAGAACAUUGUAUGGUGGAAGUCAUUUGUGUCUGCAGCUAUUUUUUUCACUUUACAAUAAAUAAGAGUAAAAAUUGAGAUCAUGUCAAAAAAUUAUUGCAGUUUUAAUCAUUAUGGCAUAGUUUCACUCCCCCCCCCCCCCCAUUAGAAUCAGUGGAGAUUUGUUCUUACUGGGGAAUUUUGGACUGCUGCCAUUUAAAACUUAGGUUUUUAUUUAAAGCAGUUGUGCAUUUUUGAGAAAAUGUAUUGGGAGUAACUAGAGAGGAUCUCCCAAAUUUUUUUGUAUGUCUCUCUAGGAGUAAACAUGGCAACAGUUUUUCUAGAACAUGGACUCACUGCAGGGACUGGACCCAAUGGCAUUGUUAAGAUCCUAAAAUCUAGCCACCACCUGCCUCCCCCAAGUUUCCAGACACCCAGUUGGAAGGCCUUUCCCUGCCCUUGUCCCUGUCUCACACCCAUGGAGGUUAAGCUACAGAGCUGGGGAAACAGGAGAUUUUGAGUUAAUGGCAGCCUCACAAAUAGUGCUGCUGAAUUUCUCCGAGGGUCAGCAUACCUCAUGGGAGUGUGUUGCUCAGUGCAACCUUGGAAAAGUGGGAAUGGCACCAGACGUUUUUCAGGUGCCUCUUGCAAUUCAAAUUUAUAUCCUCUAUACCGUCCUAAAAUUUGCCUGAUCUUAUUUGGUAGAUUUCAAGUUGCUUUCAGCUGUGACCGUAAUAACUGUUUCAGGAACUGGAGAAAUAGUGGAAGUGCUAUUGCCGCGCUGCAUGUAAAGCACAGGAGCAAAGAUUCGAUACAAUUAGACCCUUUAAGCUACAACAUGGUUGCAUUUGGGGAGUCUGAUAGCCACAUAGGUAUCACAUUUUCUCUGCCUGGGGUUAAUUUGUUCUUAUUAUUCUAGGUAAGAAAUUGAUAGCUUGCUAUGCUUGGUACUCAUUCUGAAAUCCCUAUGUGUCCACCAGGCAGACUUCAAGCAAUCUCUACCUACUAUUAUAUCUGCCAAAACUACCAAUUAUUUUUCAAUGUCAGAAGUUAUUAGAGCCACUGGCAAAGCUCAUGGUUGAAUAUGACAUUUUUC